This 497-nucleotide ribosomal RNA is filed under the name uncultured bacterium. RNAcentral describes it as "partial 16S ribosomal RNA". It matches the Rfam family "Bacterial small subunit ribosomal RNA", at positions 28 to 507 of the family's 1533-position model. The record is from RNAcentral.
GAUGAACGCUGGCGGCGUGCCUAAUACAUGCAAGUCGAGCGAACAGACGAGGAGCUUGCUCCUCUGACGUUAGCGGCGGACGGGUGAGUAACACGUGGAUAACCUACCUAUAAGACUGGGAUAACUUCGGGAAACCGGAGCUAAUACCGGAUAAUAUAUUGCACCGCAUGGUUCAAUAGUGAAAGACGGUUUUGCUGUCACUUAUAGAUGGAUCCGCGCCGCAUUAGCUAGUUGUUAAGGUAACGGCUUACCAAGGCGACGAUGCGUAGCCGACCUGAGAGGGGGAUCGGCCACACUGGAACUGAGACAGGGUCCAGACUCCUACGGGAGGCAGCAGUAGGGAAUCUUCCGCAAUGGGCGAAAGCCUGACGGAGCAACGCCGCGUGAGUGAUGAAGGUCUUCGGAGCGUAAAACUCUGUUAUUAGGGAAGAACAAAUGUGUAAGUAACUAUGCACGUCUUGACGGUACCUAAACAGAAAGCCACGGCUAACUACGUG